This 72-nucleotide transfer RNA is filed under the name Camelus ferus (Wild Bactrian camel). It matches the Rfam family "tRNA". From Rfam's summary of the family: Transfer RNA (tRNA) molecules are approximately 80 nucleotides in length. The record is from Rfam by way of RNAcentral. Lineage: Eukaryota; Metazoa; Chordata; Mammalia; Artiodactyla; Camelidae.
GAGGGUGUAGCACAGUGGUAGAGUGUGUGCUUAGCAUGCACGAGGUCCUGGGUUCAAUCCCCAAUACCUUCA